Non-coding RNA from Lolium perenne, 4461 nucleotides. NCBI's taxonomy places the organism in Eukaryota, Viridiplantae, Streptophyta, Magnoliopsida, Poales, Poaceae. The record is from RefSeq and is a predicted model, not a curated record.
GCGGUCGAUUUGGACCCUUUCACCCAACGCAACGCUGAACGUUGGAGAUGCCCUAACCCUAGCAUUUCGUCCCCAUCUCCCAACGAGACCACUGUACCGUACGACCCCGCCGCCGCUGAGCUCCGGGUACUCGUGCGCGGCCUUGUCUCCGGCGGGCGAGCACGACGUCCGGGACUCAGGCGAGUCGCUUCUGCGGCGGCCUGAAGGAGGAGUUAGGACGCGAUGGAUCUCCCGCCCCCCAGCGCCUGGGGCUUGGGCGAGCACGACGUCCGGGUCGGAGGCGACUGCUGCGGCGGACGGGGGCGGGGCACUGCUGCGGUGGCCUCACGGAACGCCUAUAUUCAGUAGGUCAUGGCCAAUGCUGUUGCCAUUGCCAACCAUCUGAUAAGCAAGGGCUAAAGCUGGUUACUGAUGGAACAGAGAACCACCUUGUUCUCUGGGAUCUUCGCCCUCUUGGCUCGUCUGAAGUAUGAGAGCUCACCCGAUAUACAGACGGAGGAUGUUGUCAGUUAAGGCAAGAAGAUAUGUAGGCCAACCUGCUGGCAAAAUAUUGGGACUAAUUAGUGAAGCACAGGUGAUUUUUUUACAAGUGACAUUGUUCAUAUAUGUAUAUUUUGGUCUGGGUUAGUAAGCAUACGGUUUAGUCCCAUAUGCCCAAUAUUACCCAAUUCUCUGAUGGCUACACUUUCAAAGCCUCAAAGGUGUUUCUGCCCACUAGAUAUUGUUUGUGAGGCUGUCCUUAUUUUAGGCAUGGAAAUCCUUCUAGAGUUGAUGCUUUCAAACAAUACAGGCACUAUUGUUCCCAGAUGAGGUUCUUUUAGAUCUGUUUCUCAUAGACAUCUGACCACUCACUUCUGGCCAUUUAUUAUGAUUUUCUCUUAGAUUUGUUCAUAUGUGGUUUAGAAUUUCUUUAUACUAACAGGGGAUUCAUAUCUGCACCUAUAAUCUAAAUGCAGAUUAUUCUGAUAUGGAUGUAGACUGUAGGAUGCCACUGACUAUACACCGUCACCCAUUCUGACUGCUUAUAGGCUACCAUGUUUGACCCUCAAUCAAUCUUACACUGUUCAUCUUAUCAACCUGUCAUGAAAUUUCUUUAUUUUCUAUCUUAUGAACCUGAACGGAACGUUUGCAACUUUUCCAUUGAACAUUUAGUGUUUAUGCCUUGAUUAUAUAGCAUAAACUAGAUACCGUUUAGUGUAAGGUAGUUCUCUUAACUUAUGGGUACAUCUAUAUAGUUAUUUUGCGUCUAUAUAUUUAUAAUGUCAUCCCAUCGCAUGCCAUGCCAUCCGUUGUUGUUGUAUCAGCUGAUUCUGCUGUUCUGAAUGGUGCAGCCUAAAUCGCAGUCAGUCUGUUGUUCAGCUAACCAAAGUACCGGGUUAUCGCAGAAUCAAAAUCACAAUGAAAAGGUAAAAUCCAGUUUCGUAACUGAAAAUAUCUAAAAUACCACCGUUGUCUUGGUUUGCUUCAUAAGCAUAGUAAUUUGCUUACUACGGUACUAUAUUUUAACAUGAUCUGGUUACAUUUCACGUGACUGAGCAUGUCCCCUUGGAGUUACAGAUUUUUGUCUUGGAUAACAAUGAAUCAGUCAACUGGUGAUUUCUUCAAUUUUAUUACUCUCUAAACUGCUCACUACAAUACUAUGUAAGUAAUGAGUUUUAGGCUGCAUUUGAGCCUGGGAGGGGUUAUCGCAUGUUCGUCCUCUUGAGCAUGCUAUGGGUAUGCGUAGGAAUCUUAUGCAUUGAUUUUUUGCCUCCACAAAUAAUGUUUUUGAUCUGGCCAUUUUAUGUUUGAAAUCGCGUAGAUUUUGGGUCAAAUUGUGCAGCACAUUGUCCGUUCAGUAUUAUUGGCCAUAGGAUUUAGAUUAAUUUGUGAGACACGUUUUCUAUGAACUGAUCAACUAACAGAUCUCCCAGAGCAAGAAAAUACUUUCUUUCUUUCUGGAUAUAGGUUCACAAGCACGCAGAGUCUCUCUUAGGUUCAGAACCACCAGGAUUUCAGUUAACUCUGGGAUAGUUUCUGUUCGGUGUCAAGUAUCAGAUCAGCACCUAGCACUAUCUUAUGCAGAGCAAUAUAUCUCAGAUUCAGUGGGACAUACAUCAAUAUUAGUUGGUGUUGUGCACACAAUCAAUGUGACAACAAAUUUUAUUUGCUUUGCAGGGAAUGUUUCGAGGCACAAGCUUGACCAGUAAAUAUUCCAUUACGUUUGUUUUCUCUUGCUUGCUAUUGUAAACUCCCAUUUCUUGAUGUCACUGUAUAAUUUAAAGAGUAUUGAGUGUACGAGAAAAAAAGUUAAGCUUAAAUGGCUCGAAACUGUUUUGCGUGUAGGAUAAAAAAAAAGAUGAGGUCACGCACAACAUAUGUGAAGACUGGAGUUAAUUGCGUUUGCGGUAAGUGAGUGGUUCAGUUUUCUGGUGAUUCCAUAUGCAUGUAUGUUAGUAUGUUAGCAUGGAGUGGAGUACUAAUCAGCGUGAUAAGGCUGUAUGUAUGACAUGAUUCUUCCAUCUCAUCUUCAGAACUAUCACAAGCUUUAUAAGUUUUUUGACACACUUUUACUAUUUUACUAUCAAAAAGUCCUUAAAUUUCUCAGACUGAAUACACCAUUGUAGAGGACAAUAUAUUGGACACAUUCAGACAUUAUAUAGAUCCUCUAGCCUGUAAACGUGAGCUAUCAUGCAUUUACGUCAUCCUAAUUGUGACUUGGAGUUUUAACAACCAUAAUAUGUUUCGGAGUGACUGUUGUUGUAACCGUAGAUCAAUACCAUGAAUACAAGAUCAGCAUGUGAGAUGAAGCAUGGCCAAAUGGUGCAACAUGUCGGAUAAAUGCAUUUUAUGUCAAACUUACAAUGAUAAACGGGUGUUAUGGUUGACAACAUAAAGCUGUAGAGAUUUUGAGAGAGAUGGGCUAUCACUGUCUGGCCUCCACUUAUUCCUGGUAAGGCCUUGCCAAAGAUAUCGGUAGAACCACUACUUAUGUUGAAAAAAGUUGGUUGAUGUUUCACUGACUUAGUUUUUUCCAAUCUGUCAAUAUGGUUAGGCGUUAUCUAUUCAAAUAGUUUGCAUUACUUUCAAUUUAAUUGGUGAACUUCUGACCCAUGGUAUUGGUCACAGCCAAUCAUUUAUUUAGUAGAAAAUCAAAGAUUUCCAAAUUUCUGACCGUGCAUAAAUAUAUCUCUGUUUCAUGUAGAGUUGAUACUACAAUAUGGAUGUCCCUUGGCUUCCUCGAGAUCCACAAGUUCUUUCAAAGAUGGCCAGGGAAAGCAAUAGCAGCAAGCAGCUUUUAAAGAUGCCUCCAACAAUAAAGCCGGAGCAAACAAGGGCAUUUUGGCAUCUCUGCUAACAAAAUGAGAUUCAGAUAUUGAUGUCCUACGAUAAGCAACAUCGGUCCUCCCCUCCUCUCAACAGCUAAGGUAUGUAUUGUUUGAUUGUGGUGGCAAACUAAUUGUUAUCAUGCUCGAUCAGGAACCACAUUCCUGUAUAUACGCAUUGGAAGAAGUACCACCAAGACCAAGAGCUCCUAUGUGACUUUUACGGAAAGUGGAGGGUAAAUUUUCAAUGGACACGAAGCAGUCACCAGUAAAAGGUGCAUGCAAUAAGCAUCUUCAUAAUAACGUGGAAAAACUGGAAGGUGCGUUGCUUAGUUCAGCGAUGGAUAGCUCAGAAUCUAUAAGCUGGAUGCAUGUAUGUGUUUCUUUUCACGGAGACUCGUACACAGAUAACAACCAAGUCAUGUGGAUCUGUUCAUGGAGACAUACCGCAACAAGGACGACCGCUACUCCCCUAAAGUAGAACUUGUUCUUCGUCAGACUGAAAGAGAUGUCUCAACCUACACCAGAUUGAGAGAGAAAGAAUGAGACCCAGGUUUUAUCCGAGGUCCUUGGUAAGAGAAUAAAGAAACCUAUGUUUCUUCAGAAUGUGGGAAUGUAGCAUAAACCCACUCGAUCAAAUAUGAGCACCCUACCUGAUUUGUUGGAGACCGAGCGGAGGGGAAAAACAGCAAGAUCUUGUCGACUCCCGUAAUGCUAAUCUGUUCGAGCUUAACAGAAAGGUACAUGAAGCGAGAGAGAGGCAUGCUGCCCUUGAGUAAGGCUGGCAAUGGGUCGGGUUUGGUUGCGUCAACCUAAACUUGACCCAUGCCCAUCACCCUUAUCGGGCACACCUGUGACCCACGACCCUACCCAUGGGUAAGGAGUGAGACCCAUCCCCAAACCCAUCGGGUACAAAAAAUGGAGAGUUUGACGCAACCAAAUAUUUAGAACACAUCGGCACAUUGUUGGGCUACCAGGACGAAGAGUGGUGUGUUCCCGUUCAUGGCUUUGUGACUGCAAGUAGUACUAAUAUGCACAUGUUUAGUUUCUGGAUACAAGAGCUUUGUGUGUAAACGAUAUAUACUGUCUACAUGUAUAAUGUAUGUGUAUCAUAGCUCACGUACCAUAAAAAUAAUUCAAUUGUUUUAAUUAGUAA